AAUCCCCUACUUGAGUUGGUGAUAUCCUUUAUCGGUUUUGAGCCAACACCGAGACAUAGGGAGCUUGGCUAUCAUCAAUGUUGUGAAUGCCUCUCUUAAGUAAGAGGAAUCCUGAAGUUGAUGAUGCAGUUCCCAACCUGCAUAAAGCGGGUUCAAACGCGAAGGAUACACGGCUAAGUGGGGGUUUU
RNAcentral lists this non-coding RNA (188 nucleotides) under Bacillota bacterium. RNAcentral describes it as "Firmicutes bacterium (hot springs metagenome) 6S RNA". It matches the Rfam family "6S / SsrS RNA". Rfam says of the family: E. coli 6S RNA was the first non coding RNA to be sequenced, but its function was unknown until recently. It consists of 184 nucleotides that fold into an extended hairpin structure with a large single-stranded internal bulge. The 6S RNA specifically associates with RNA polymerase holoenzyme containing the sigma70 specificity factor. The record is from RNAcentral. Lineage: Bacteria; Bacillati; Bacillota.